UAAUCACUUGUCUUUUAAAUGAAGACCUGUAUGAAUGGCAUAACGAGGGUUUAACUGUCUCCUAUCCCCAGUCAAUGAAAUUGAUCUAUCCGUGCAGAAGCGGAUAUAAACACAUAAGACGAGAAGACCCUAUGGAGCUUUAGGCAAAGGACCAAACAUGUUAAUAGACCAUAAAAUCUAAAAGAAAUAACAAACAGUCACAUAAACAAAUGUAAAUUGAUCCAAAUGCCUUAGGUUGGGGCGACCACGGGGAAAAAAGAAACCCCCACAUGGAAUGGAAGCACUUUCCUAAACCAAGAAAUACACCUCCAAGUAACAGAACAUCUGACCAAAAAUGACCCAGGACAAACAUCCUGAUCAAUGAACCAAGUUACCCUAGGGAUAACAGCGCAAUCCUUUCCCAGAGCCCA
RNAcentral lists this ribosomal RNA (410 nucleotides) under Nettastoma solitarium (solitary duckbill eel). RNAcentral's name for it is "partial 16S ribosomal RNA". It matches the Rfam family "Bacterial large subunit ribosomal RNA", at positions 1962 to 2502 of the family's 2925-position model. Lineage: Eukaryota; Metazoa; Chordata; Actinopteri; Anguilliformes; Nettastomatidae. The record is from RNAcentral.